CGAACGCUGGCGGCAGGCUUAACGCAUGCAAGUCGAACGGACCCUUCGGGGUUAGUGGCAGACGGGUGAGUAACGCGUGGGAACCUACCUAUAAGUACGGAACAACACAGAGAAAUUUGUGCUAAUACCGUAUGUGCUCUUUUGAGUAAAGAUUUAUCGCUUAUAGAUGGGCCCGCGUUAGAUUAGCUAGUUGGUGAGGUAACGGCUCACCAAGGCGACGAUCUAUAGCUGGUCUGAGAGGAUGAUCAGCCACACUGGGACUGAGACACGGCCCAGACUCCUACGGGAGGCAGCAGUGAGGAAUAUUGGACAAUGGGGGCAACCCUGAUCCAGCCAUGCCGCGUGAGUGAUGACGGCCUUAGGGUUGUAAAGCUCUUUCAGUAGUGAAGAUAAUGACGGUAACUACAGAAGAAGCCCCGGCUAACUUCGUGCCAGCAGCCGCGGUAAUACGAAGGGGGCUAGCGUUGUUCGGAAUCACUGGGCGUAAAGCGCGCGUAGGCGGACUUUUAAGUCAGGGGUGAAAUCCCGAGGCUCAACCUCGGAACUGCCUUUGAUACUGGAAGUCUUGAGUUCGAGAGAGGUGAGUGGAAUACCGAUUGUA
Molecule: ribosomal RNA, 601 nt
Filed under: uncultured bacterium
Lineage: Bacteria
Description: bacterial SSU rRNA
Rfam family: Bacterial small subunit ribosomal RNA
Source: RNAcentral